RNAcentral lists this ribosomal RNA (477 nucleotides) under uncultured bacterium. RNAcentral's name for it is "partial 16S ribosomal RNA". It matches the Rfam family "Bacterial small subunit ribosomal RNA", at positions 28 to 507 of the family's 1533-position model. The record is from RNAcentral.
GAUUAACGCUGGCGGCGUGCAUAACACAUGCAAGUCGAACGAUGAAACUUAACUGAUUUCUUCGGAAUGAUUUUAAGUGGAUUAGUGGCGGACGGGUGAGUAACGCGUGAGUAACCUGCCUUGGAGAAGGGGAUAGCCUUUGGAAACGAAGAAUAAUACCCUAUGAUAUGAUAAUAUCUCAUGAUAUUAUCAUCAAAGAUUUAUCGCUCUAAGAUGGACUUGCGUCUGAUUAGUUAGUUGGUGAGGUAACAGCUCACCAAGGCAGCGAUCAGUAGCCGGCUUGAGAGAGUGGACGGCAACAUUGGGACUGAGACACGGCCCAGACUCCGACGGGAGGCAGCAGUGGGGAAUUUUGCACAAUGGGGGAAACCCUGAUGCAGCGACGCCGCGUGAUUUAGAAGGCCUUCGGGUUGUAAAAAUCUUUUGUAUGGGAAGAAAAUGACAGUACCAUACGAAUAAGGACCGGCUAAUUACGUG